Long non-coding RNA from Spinacia oleracea (spinach), 520 nucleotides. RefSeq lists it as uncharacterized. NCBI's taxonomy places the organism in Eukaryota, Viridiplantae, Streptophyta, Magnoliopsida, Caryophyllales, Amaranthaceae. The transcript is spliced from 3 exons. The record is from RefSeq and is a predicted model, not a curated record.
GCAGCCACCAAGGCCGUCAGACCACCACCAGCCGUGGCCACUGGUAAGGUCUCACCUCCUUCUCCUUCGUCGUCCUUAUCCCUCCUUGUUUUCUUUCUUCCUUGCAAUUUCUCUCUCCCUUAAUGUGUUGCCUUCUUGUAGCCACCACCGAGGACCAUCAGCCACCUUCGUCGUUCCCCUGCACGCUGCGCCGCACCACCCGUUGCUGCUGCCCAGUCGGCCUCCAUCCUUCUCCUCCACACACGCAAGCAACUUUUCCCUCUCUUCUGUGUUUCUUGCUCGAACACGCAACCACCAUUGCCGACCACCGCGUCGCCCAGCCCUGCCGCCGCCAGGCCCGCUGUCGUGUGUUGUUUGCCGCCGGCCAGCACUUCCUCUUCCUCUCUCUUUGGCGGAGAAUUCUCUUUAGGCGACUUCUGAAAGUGUUAAAGUGGCCUAUUAGUUUGUUUACACAAGUCUCUAAGGAUUAAUAAGCGUUGCCCAUCUACAGGUUCGAAGAUGAUGUAUCAUUGGGAUCGGG